RNAcentral lists this transfer RNA (70 nucleotides) under Uranoscopus sp. ZY-2022. RNAcentral's name for it is "tRNA-Gly". It matches the Rfam family "tRNA". From Rfam's summary of the family: Transfer RNA (tRNA) molecules are approximately 80 nucleotides in length. Lineage: Eukaryota; Metazoa; Chordata; Actinopteri; Uranoscopiformes; Uranoscopidae. The record is from RNAcentral.
GUCUUCCUAGUAUAAAUAAGUAUAAGUGACUUCCAAUCACUCAGCCUUGGUUCAAGCCCAAGGGAAGAUA